Molecule: ribosomal RNA, 207 nt
Filed under: uncultured bacterium
Lineage: Bacteria
Description: partial 16S ribosomal RNA
Rfam family: Bacterial small subunit ribosomal RNA
Source: RNAcentral
UCGGACUGUAGUCUGCAACCGACUACACGAAGCUGGAAUCGCUAGUAAUCGCGGAUCAGAAUGCCGCGGUGAAUACGUUCCCGGGUCUUGUACACACCGCCGUCACACCAUGGGAGUCAGUAACGCCCGAAGUCAGUGACCCAACCUAUCAGGAGGGAGCUGCCGAAGGUGGGACCGAUAACUGGGGUGAAGUCGUAACAAGGUAAC